GCAACCUUGGCAUGGAGUACUCUCUAUACUAUCCAAGUACAAGUGUACUCCUACACAAUCAGUGUGUGUUGCAUGGAGUACUACUGUAUCCUGUACAGUAUAUACUGUAGUAUAGUGUGUACAAGUGUAGCAUUGUGUGCUGUUUGCCGUCCAGGAGCAGCGUGACCAGCUGAGACGUAUUUAUUGACGUAUUUUCAGCCACUUUGUGUUUCAUUGCAUAGUAUAACUGCUGUUUCACCAUGCAUAUGACACUAAAACUCUUCAAUCAAUCUUGACUUGAAACAUGCUUUCCUCGCCUCGAGCAGUGAAAACGUCUGCAGUGUUCUCUGACGUCCAAGAGAGCACCCCAGGAAUGACAUAGUUGAGGUUGUCUAGCCUCCAUAUGGCGUGCUUUUACACCCCCCCAGUAGGUGCAUUAAACACAUUCCUGGCCGGCAGCACCAGAACGGCCCCCACUCAGGUGUGUUUACAAGGUACGCAGGCUAGCAGCACCCGACCAAUAGGGAGGACAGCCAGGCGGGUUACUCAUCUCUCCUGGGUCAAAGGUGACGACCUCUUCAAGCAAACGUGGAGGCGGAGCCAGGCGGAGGUGGCAUGCUAGCACAGACAUCAUCAUCAUCUUCACCCCUCCACAGGAUUUCCUCCAAGAAGCAUCACAGCCUGCCUGAAGAGGAAAACUCAUCCAAGCCUCCCUGACCAAGGAAGUAGCCUGCUAGCUAACAAAAAGACAAAUAUGCUCCUUUUGGAGUCGAUGAUGUAGCUUCAGUGGCAGCGGAAGCAUAGUGUGGCGCUCAAGAUGAGAAAUGCUACGAUGCUGUCAUCUUCUACCAAGCAACACAUGCGCAUUACCUCUGACCUCUACCGAGUGCUGUUCUAUUUUUUUUAAAGCUGUGAUGAACGCAUGAAAACAAACGAUAUGACACGUUUCCAUCGCUGCACCACGUCACCAAUUGGCAAAUAGCGUGUGGUGUCCUCCCAUGGACACCGCCAGGACACCCUUGCUUCAGUUGACCUCCAAACCCGUGAAAAAGCUGCCCGCAAAGGUGGUCUGGGACAGAUAUAAAAACAGAUGAAAAGGGCAGCUAAGAAUGCACGUAAUGGGACACCAACUGGCAGCUCAGCCUCAUUUCCGGACGUGACGUCAUCAGGGUGACAAACGCUUCUCCGGGGAGAUGGUGGACAUGCUUCAGUAUAUUUUUCAUCCAAAGUGUCCCAGUGAUACUGUGAGUUUGUUUUCUUCUCCAAAAGACGAAGGUUUAGGACGACAAUGGACGAAGCAAGUGCAGAGAACGAGAGACAAAUGGACGCCCGCCUCGAGUUCUGUCCUUUGCUGUGAUCACUUCACUGAUGAGUGAUGAAAGUACGCUACAAACGCAUCUUGUAAAAGGAUGCUAUUCUGCUGGUACACAGGAAAAAGAAAACUUCAAACAACGAAGAACAACCACUGCGUCAAAGUUGGCAGAAGAGAGAAAACGAUGACUUCACGUCUGCCCUCUCCCCUUCCGUAAGAUGAUGCAUCCCUGAGGGCCGACAACCAGGAGGGCACAUGGAGACCUCUGUGGGUGAAGUCGGUCUCUUUCUUUGGGAUGUGACCCAUAUCGUGCACAAACCGGUGCUUCUGCAUUUCUAGUCGUGUGCAAAUAAACGGUCUUUAAGGCCACAGACACGUCUUGCCACACAGUAACACGCCCUUCUAUUUAGGGUUAGAUGAUACGGUGCAUUUAGCUGUACAAUACAUAAAGAUACUGGAACUGUAAGCCCCCUCUGCCUCUUAUGGGUGUGCCCCUCAAUUUGAGAAUCACCAGUCUAGGCUGAGAACCGAAGAUGACCGGACGUCCAGUAUCGGAUCUUUGAUCUUGAUUAUAAUCACAGUAAAACUUGAUGUUAUACGUUAUUUGUACAUAAAUACAACAAUAUCAAUUACAAUGGAAAUGACUUUGUAGUAUAU
Molecule: long non-coding RNA, 1948 nt
Organism: Dunckerocampus dactyliophorus (ringed pipefish)
Lineage: Eukaryota; Metazoa; Chordata; Actinopteri; Syngnathiformes; Syngnathidae
Exons: 5
Source: RefSeq, a predicted model, not a curated record